GUGGGGAAUAUUGGGCAAUGGGGGCAACCCUGACCCAGCGACGCCGCGUGAGGGAAGAAGGCCUUAGGGUCGUAAACCUCUGUUGUGUGGGAAGAAGGAAGUGACGGUACCACACGAGGAAGUCCCGGCUAACUACGUGCCAGCAGCCGCGGUAAUACGUAGGGGACGAGCGUUGUCCGGAAUUACUGGGCGUAAAGGGCGCGUAGGCGGUCAUUUAAGUCAGCUGUGAAAUGGUCCGGCUCAACCGGAUCAUGCGGUUGAAACUGGAUGACUGGAGUGCUGGAGAGGCAAGUGGAAUUCCCAGUGUAGCGGUGAAAUGCGUAGAUAUUAGGAGGAACACCAGUGGCGAAAGCGGCUUUCUGGACGACAACUGACGCUGAGGCGCGAAAGCCAGGGGAGCAAACGGGAUUAGAUACCCCUGUAGUCC
This 427-nucleotide ribosomal RNA is filed under the name uncultured bacterium. Its description in RNAcentral is "partial 16S ribosomal RNA". It matches the Rfam family "Bacterial small subunit ribosomal RNA", at positions 354 to 796 of the family's 1533-position model. The record is from RNAcentral.